UAUACGGAGUUACAAAGGACGACAUUAGACGAAUCAUCUGGAAAGAUGAAUCAAAGAAGGUAAUAAUCCUGUAGUCGAAAAUGUUGUCUCUCUUGAGUGGAUCCUGAGUACGACGGAGCACGUGAAAUUCCGUCGGAAUCUGGGAGGACCAUCUCCUAAGGCUAAAUACUCUCUAGUGACCGAUAGUGAACCAGUACCGUGAGGGAAAGGUGAAAAGCACCCCGGAAGGGGAGUGAAAUAGAACCUGAAACCGUGUGCUUACAAGUAGUCAGAGCCCGUUAAUGGGUGAUGGCGUGCCUUUUGUAGAAUGAACCGGCGAGUUACGAUUUGAUGCAAGGUUAAGCAGUAAAUGUGGAGCCGUAGCGAAAGCGAGUCUGAAUAGGGCGUUUAGUAUUUGGUCGUAGACCCGAAACCAGGUGAUCUACCCUUGGUCAGGUUGAAGUUCAGGUAACACUGAAUGGAGGACCGAACCGACUUACGUUGAAAAGUGAGCGGAUGAACUGAGGGUAGCGGAGAAAUUCCAAUCGAACCUGGAGAUAGCUGGUUCUCUCCGAAAUAGCUUUAGGGCUAGCCUCAAGUGAUGAUUAUUGGAGGUAGAGCACUGUUUGGACGAGGGGCCCCUCUCGGGUUACCGAAUUCAGACAAACUCCGAAUGCCAAUUAAUUUAACUUGGGAGUCAGAACAUGGGUGAUAAGGUCCGUGUUCGAAAGGGAAACAGCCCAGACCACCAGCUAAGGUCCCAAAAUAUAUGUUAAGUGGAAAAGGAUGUGGCGUUGCCCAGACAACUAGGAUGUUGGCUUAGAAGCAGCCAUCAUUUAAAGAGUGCGUAAUAGCUCACUAGUCGAGUGACACUGCGCCGAAAAUGUACCGGGGCUAAACAUAUUACCGAAGCUGUGGAUUGUCCUUUGGACAAUGGUAGGAGAGCGUUCUAAGGGCGUUGAAGCAUGAUCGUAAGGACAUGUGGAGCGCUUAGAAGUGAGAAUGCCGGUGUGAGUAGCGAAAGACGGGUGAGAAUCCCGUCCACCGAUUGACUAAGGUUUCCAGGGGAAGGCUCGUCCGCUCUGGGUUAGUCGGGUCCUAAGCUGAGGCCGACAGGCGUAGGCGAUGGAUAACAGGUUGAUAUUCCUGUACCACCUAUAAUCGUUUUAAUCGAUGGGGGG
RNAcentral lists this ribosomal RNA (1160 nucleotides) under Corynebacterium diphtheriae. RNAcentral's name for it is "bacterial LSU rRNA". It matches the Rfam family "Bacterial large subunit ribosomal RNA", at positions 310 to 1471 of the family's 2925-position model. Lineage: Bacteria; Bacillati; Actinomycetota; Actinomycetes; Mycobacteriales; Corynebacteriaceae. The record is from RNAcentral.